This 432-nucleotide ribosomal RNA is filed under the name uncultured bacterium. Its description in RNAcentral is "partial 16S ribosomal RNA". It matches the Rfam family "Bacterial small subunit ribosomal RNA", at positions 29 to 507 of the family's 1533-position model. The record is from RNAcentral.
AACGAACGCUGGCGGCAUGCCUAACACAUGCAAGUCGAACGAGACCUUCGGGUCUAGUGGCGCACGGGUGCGUAACGCGUGGGAACCUGCCCUUAGGUUCGGAAUAACUCCCCGAAAGGGGUGCUAAUACCGGAUAAUGCCUUCGGACCAAAGAUUUAUCGCCUUUGGAUGGGCCCGCGUUGGAUUAGCUAGUUGGUAGGGUAAAAGCCUACCAAGGCGACGAACCAUAGCUGGUCUGAGAGGAUGAUCAGCCACACUGGGACUGAGACACGGCCCAGACUCCUCGGGAGGCAGCAGUGGGGAAUAUUGGACAAUGGGCGAAAGGCUGAUCCAGCAAUGACGCGUGAGUGAUGAAGGCCUUAGGGUUGUAAAGCUCUUUUACCCGGGAUGAUAAUGACAGUACCGGGAGAAUAAGCACCGGCUAACUUCGUG